GGGGUGAAAGACCAAUCAAACUCGGAGAUAGCUGGUUCUCCUCGAAAUAGCUUUAGGGCUAGCCUCAAAUGUUUGCCUAUGGAGGUAGAGCACUGAAUGGACUAAGAGCCCCACCAGGUUACUGAACCCAAUCAAACUCCGAAUGCCAUAGGCCUAUAGUUUGGGAGUCAGACUGCGGGGGAUAAGCUCCGUAGUCGAAAGGGAAACAGCCCAGACCAGCAGCUAAGGUCCCCAAGUGCAAGCUAAGUGUGAAAGGAAGUGGAAUUACGAAGACAGCCAGGAUGUUGGCUCAGAGGCAGCCAUCAUUUAAAAAGUGCGUAACAGCUUACUGGUCAAGUGAUUCUGCACCGAAAAAUGUACGGGGCUAAAGUUUGCCACCGAAGCUCUGGAUCCGGAAUUUAUUCCGGGUGGUAGAGGAGCGUUCCUUUAUGGGAUGAAGGGUAACCGUAAGGAUGCCUGGACUAAAAGGAAGUGAGAAUGCCGGCAUAAGUAACGAUAAGGAGAGUGAGAAUCUCUCCCGCCGAAAACCUAAGGUUUCCUGGGGAAGGUAAAUCCGCCCAGGGUUAGUCGGAACCUAAGCCGAGGCCGAAAGGCGUAGGUGAUGGACAACCGGUCAACAUUCCGGUACUACCAGAUUAUCGCUUUUGAGUGAUGGGGGGACGCAGGAAGGUAGGUCAGCACGAUAAAAGUUACGUGUCCAAGCCUGAUAUGGGAAGAGAUAGGAAAAUCCGUCUCUUAUUAAAACCCUAAGAGGUGAUAGGGAGCUGCUAUGGCAGCGAACUGAUCGAUCCUACACUG
This 798-nucleotide ribosomal RNA is filed under the name marine sediment metagenome. RNAcentral describes it as "LSU rRNA". It matches the Rfam family "Bacterial large subunit ribosomal RNA", at positions 818 to 1607 of the family's 2925-position model. The record is from RNAcentral.